This is a long non-coding RNA of Helianthus annuus (common sunflower), 281 nucleotides long. RefSeq lists it as uncharacterized. The record is from RefSeq and is a predicted model, not a curated record. The transcript has 2 exons. Lineage: Eukaryota; Viridiplantae; Streptophyta; Magnoliopsida; Asterales; Asteraceae.
CUAUAGGAGAAUGAAGUAAGUCUCUCGGAUGAGGAUCAAGAGUUGCACAAGAACCGAACACAAUUAUGGUGAUCUAUAAUGAGGAUGAUGCUGAUGAUUAACUGGGCGUAGUGACGAGGCCUUAGAUACACAUUUAGAAAUCAUAGAUUUAAACUUGUUAUAUCAAUUUUGUAAUACGCUUUGUUGUACUUUGUUUUGUUGUACUUGAAACUUGAUGUAUUUGAAAUUCCUAUUGUAACCCAACUUUUGAAAUGAAAUGAAAUCAGUUUAUGUUAAUUUUA